CAGCAGCCGCGGUAAUACGUAGGUCCGAGCGUUGUCCGGAUUUAUUGGGCGUAAAGGGAGCGCAGGCGGUUUAGUAAGUCUGGAGUUAAAGGCAUUGGCUCAACCAAUGUAUGCUUUGGAAACUGUUUGACUUGAGUGCAGAAGGGGAGAGUGGAAUUCCAUGUGUAGCGGAGAAACGCGUAGAUAUAUGGAGGAACACCGGUGGCGAAAGCGGCUCUCUGGUCUGUCACUGACGCUGAGGCUCGAAAGCGUGGGUAGCGAACAGGAUUAGAUACCCCGGUAGUCCCUGUCUCUUAUACAC
RNAcentral lists this ribosomal RNA (301 nucleotides) under uncultured bacterium. RNAcentral describes it as "partial 16S ribosomal RNA". It matches the Rfam family "Bacterial small subunit ribosomal RNA", at positions 509 to 809 of the family's 1533-position model. The record is from RNAcentral.